ACGUACACUCCUGCGGGAGGCAGCAGUGGGGAAUAUUGGACAAUGGGCGCAAGCCUGAUCCAGCCAUGCCGCGUGAGUGAUGAAGGCCCUAGGGUUGUAAAGCUCUUUCACCGGAGAAGAUAAUGACGGUAUCCGGAGAAGAAGCCCCGGCUAACUUCGUGCCAGCAGCCGCGGUAAUACGAAGGGGGCUAGCGUUGUUCGGAAUUACUGGGCGUAAAGCGCACGUAGGCGGAUCGAUCAGUCAGGGGUGAAAUCCCAGGGCUCAACCCUGGAACUGCCUUUGAUACUGUCGAUCUGGAGUAUGGAAGAGGUGAGUGGAAUUCCGAGUGUAGAGGUGAAAUUCGUAGAUAUUCGGAGGAACACCAGUGGCGAAGGCGGCUCACUGGUCCAUUACUGACGCUGAGGUGCGAAAGCGUGGGGAGCAAACAGGAUUAGAAACCCUUGUAGUCC
Molecule: ribosomal RNA, 450 nt
Filed under: uncultured organism
Description: partial 16S ribosomal RNA
Rfam family: Bacterial small subunit ribosomal RNA
Source: RNAcentral